Molecule: ribosomal RNA, 83 nt
Organism: Chlorocebus sabaeus (green monkey)
Lineage: Eukaryota; Metazoa; Chordata; Mammalia; Primates; Cercopithecidae
Source: Ensembl
UGUUACGGCCACACCAUCCUGAACACACCCGAUCUCAUCUGAUCUUAGAAGCUGAGGAGACUUGGGCCUGGAGGAAGCAACAU